AUCUGAGAGAAGUGCCGAUACGAUGCCUAUGCUCAGAGCCUUGCAAUGUAUUUUGACUGGAAAUAUCAUCGCCAAUGAUCUACAGCCAAUGAGAGAGCAAGAUACAGGGCAAGGGAAAUUUCAGGGGGAGGAGUCAUAGCCUUACAUUCCUGUAUCACUUCUCGCGCUUCCAUUUUUUACACAAGACAGAGUGGUCAGAGUGGUCGGACCCCCAGUCUCUGAUCCGUCAUGUAACAUGCAAACGACUGAAAGGAGCAUUAAUCUGAUGACUUUGAAAAUUGUGUAGUGUAGACCCAGCUUAAGUAUAAGCAAUUGUAAUAGUUAUGCUGAUUCGUGUUACUCAUUUCUUUUACAGGACCUGGAGGAGCAGUUGGAGGAUGGGCGUCACCGGGUGGCCGAGGCUGAUGCUGUGGCAAAGAAGGCAGAGGAGGAGUUAGCUGUAGCCAAAGAACGAUUAUUACUGCAAGAGAAUGAGCUACAGAGCAAGUCAGAGGAGUUAAUGAGCCAGAGUUCAUCUCAGGUGAGGUUCUCUGCUGAAGUGGAAGAGCUAAGGUCUCAACUGAGUCGUCUCAACAUUAGAAAUAAAGAGCUGGAGCUUCAGAACAGUGGCCGAUCCAAUGACCACGCUCGCAUGCUUAAACAGCAUGCAGAUACUCUAUCCUCUAUGCGUCUGGAGCUGCAGCGAGCUCACACUGAGGAGAUCAGACGCCUUCAGCAGGAGGUGGAGAACGAAAGAAAGAAUGACAGACAGGAGCUGGAAGAAGAGAAGAAACGGGCUCAGCAGAAGAUGGAAGAAGAGAAAGUAAGACUGAAAGAGCAGCUUCGGAAAGCACUUGAAGAAGUGAUACGCAAACAUGCCAGUGAGCUGCGGCAAGCGCAUGCAAUGCUGGAUGCAGAGAAAAAGACGACGCAGCAGACUGAGGAGCAGAUGAAAACCGGAGAAGAAGAGAGAAAGGCUUUAGAGACAGAGAGGGAAAAGCUACUCAACCAACUACAGCUGUCCAACAGAGAGAUGGCGAAAUUGGAGGGGGUGAUUCAGACGCUGGAGAGAGAAAAAGAAGAGGAGAAGGAAAGGGCAAAAGAGAGAGAGCAGGAGUAUGCAAAGGUGGAGCGGCAGUCAGCAUGGAAGCAGGAGAUCCAAAAGACAAGAGAUAUGAACAGCACGCUCAGAUCUCAGCUUCAUUCCACCAUUCAAGAGAAAGAGAGACUGAUGAGGCAGCAGUUACAAGUGCGUAUAUACUAGGGCUGUUGGGAA
This 1255-nucleotide long non-coding RNA is filed under the name Sinocyclocheilus grahami. RNAcentral describes it as "lncRNA (ENSSGRG00000012117.1)". Lineage: Eukaryota; Metazoa; Chordata; Actinopteri; Cypriniformes; Cyprinidae. The record is from RNAcentral.